This 84-nucleotide microRNA precursor is filed under the name Bombyx mori (domestic silkworm). RNAcentral describes it as "mir-2807 microRNA precursor family". It matches the Rfam family "mir-2807 microRNA precursor family". The record is from Rfam by way of RNAcentral. Lineage: Eukaryota; Metazoa; Arthropoda; Insecta; Lepidoptera; Bombycidae.
UUAACUCAUAUUUGUAUGGAAUGGGAUCGUUUGCCUACGCUUGCCGUUAGGGGCGCUAUUCCAGUUGCAUACAAAAUUAAAAGA